GAUGAGCGCUGGCGGCGUGCCUAAUACAUGCAAGUCGAGCGAACGGACGAGAAGCUUGCUUUUCUGAUGUUAGCGGCGGACGGGUGAGUAACACGUGGAUAACCUACCUAUAAGACUGGGAUAACUUCGGGAAACCGGAGCUAAUACCGGAUAAUAUUUUGAACCGCACGGUUCAAAAGUGAAAGACGGUCUUGCUGUCACUUAUAGAUGGAUCCGCGCUGCAUUAGCUAGUUGGUAAGGUAACGGCUUACCAAGGCAACGAUGCAUAACCGACCUGAGAGGGUGAUCGGCCACACUGGAACUGAGACACGGUCCAGACUCCUACGGGAGGCAGCAGUAGGGAAUCUUCCGCAAUGGGCGAAAGCCUGACGGAGCAACGCCGCGUGAGUGAUGAAGGUCUUCGGAUCGUAAAACUCUGUUAUUAGGGAAGAACAUAUGUGUAAGUAACUGUGCACAUCUUGACGGUACCUAAUCAGAAAGCCACGGCUAACUACGUG
Molecule: ribosomal RNA, 497 nt
Filed under: uncultured bacterium
Lineage: Bacteria
Description: partial 16S ribosomal RNA
Rfam family: Bacterial small subunit ribosomal RNA
Source: RNAcentral